CAGAGAGAGAGAUGAAGAGGUAUUGUAAAGAGUCCAAUGGGAAUUCACAAUGAGUUGGACUUCUGUAGCUGUCUGGCUGGCUCCGGCAGCCAUUCUUUAACCUUUUAUAGAUUCCGAUAUGAAAGAGGAAGAAGCCAAACCUCUGUCCCCGGAACACAUAGAUCAGAUAAUAAUGGAAAGUGGAAGGAGACACGUGUAACGAUCACCGGCCACGGCUGAGGCGGAUCUUCAUUGGAAACAACGCUCAUCAUGUAAAGGUCGGUGGACUGUGGAGACCCCCCUGGCCCCCACGUUACAUGAUGUUAGGAAAUGACAUUUACACCCUUGUCAGAAAUGCGUGUGAUUGGCUGGUGUUGGGUGGGCCGGGACACGGAUUUGUUUGAUUUGUUUCUAUUAGUAAUUAUUAAAAUCCCAUAUGGGCCAUAUGCUGGGCCCAUUGCUUGU
This is a long non-coding RNA of Andrographis paniculata, 444 nucleotides long. RefSeq lists it as uncharacterized. The record is from RefSeq and is a predicted model, not a curated record. The transcript is spliced from 3 exons. NCBI's taxonomy places the organism in Eukaryota, Viridiplantae, Streptophyta, Magnoliopsida, Lamiales, Acanthaceae.